RNAcentral lists this ribosomal RNA (529 nucleotides) under uncultured bacterium. RNAcentral describes it as "bacterial SSU rRNA". It matches the Rfam family "Bacterial small subunit ribosomal RNA", at positions 777 to 1304 of the family's 1533-position model. The record is from RNAcentral.
AAUAGAUACCCGGGUAGUCCACGCCGUAAACGAUGAGUGCUAAGUGUUAGAGGGUUUCCGCCCUUUAGUGCUGCAGCUAACGCAUUAAGCACUCCGCCUGGGGAGUACGGCCGCAAGGCUGAAACUCAAAGGAAUUGACGGGGGCCCGCACAAGCGGUGGAGCAUGUGGUUUAAUUCGAAGCAACGCGAAGAACCUUACCAGGUCUUGACAUCCUCUGACAGCCCUAGAGAUAGGGCUUUCCCCUUCGGGGGACAGAGUGACAGGUGGUGCAUGGUUGUCGUCAGCUCGUGUCGUGAGAUGUUGGGUUAAGUCCCGCAACGAGCGCAACCCUUGAUCUUAGUUGCCAGCAUUCAGUUGGGCACUCUAAGGUGACUGCCGGUGACAAACCGGAGGAAGGUGGGGAUGACGUCAAAUCAUCAUGCCCCUUAUGACCUGGGCUACACACGUGCUACAAUGGAUGGUACAAAGGGCUGCAAACCUGCGAAGGUAAGCGAAUCCCAUAAAGCCAUUCUCAGUUCGGAUUGCAGG